UNGGAGAGGAAAGUGGAAUUCCUAGUGUAGCGGUGAAAUGCGUAGAUAUUAGGAAGANCACCAGUGGCGAAGGCGACUUUCUGGACGAACACUGACGCUGAGGCGCGAAAGCCAGGGGAGCGAACGGGAUUAGAUACCCCGGUAGUCCUGNCCGUAAACGAUGGGUACUAGGUGUAGGAGGUAUCGACCCNUUCUGUGCCGGAGUUAACGCAAUAAGUACCCCGCCUGGGGAGUACGACCGCAAGGUUGAAACUCAAAGGAAUUGACGGGGGCCCGCACAAGCGGUGGAGUAUGUGGUUUAAUUCGACGCAACGCGAAGAACCUUACCAGGUCUUGACAUUGAUGGACAGAACUAGAGAUAGUUCCUCUUCUUCGGAAGCCAGAAAACAGGUGGUGCACGGUUGUCGUCAGCUCGUGUCGUGAGAUGUUGGGAUAAGUCCCGCAACGAGCGCAACCCCUAUCUUAUGUUGCCAGCACGUAAAGGUGGGAACUCAUGAGAGACUGCCGCAGACAAUGCGGAGGAAGGCGGGGAUGACGUCAAAUCAUCAUGCCCCUUAUGACCUGGGCUACACACGUACUACAAUGGGAGUUAAUAGACGGAAGCGAGAUCGCGAGAUGGAGCAAACCCGAGAAACACUCUCUCAGUUCGGAUCGUAGGCUGCGACUCGCCUACGUGAAGUCGGAAUCGCUAGUAAUCGCAGGUCAGCAUACUGCGGUGAAUACGUUCCCGGGCCUUGUACACACCGCCCGUCACACCACGAAAGUCGGAAGUGCCCAAAGCCGGUGGGGUAACCUUCGGGAGCCAGCCGUCUAA
This 814-nucleotide ribosomal RNA is filed under the name uncultured bacterium. RNAcentral describes it as "bacterial SSU rRNA". It matches the Rfam family "Bacterial small subunit ribosomal RNA", at positions 649 to 1460 of the family's 1533-position model. The record is from RNAcentral.